RNAcentral lists this ribosomal RNA (774 nucleotides) under uncultured Neocallimastigales. RNAcentral's name for it is "partial large subunit ribosomal RNA". It matches the Rfam family "Eukaryotic large subunit ribosomal RNA", at positions 23 to 632 of the family's 3401-position model. Lineage: Eukaryota; Fungi; Neocallimastigomycota; Neocallimastigomycetes; Neocallimastigales. The record is from RNAcentral.
AGAGAGAGACAUGCGCGCAUAUCAAUAAGCGGAGGAAAAGAAACUAACUAGGAUUCCCUCAGUAACGGCGAGUGAAGCGGGAAGAGCUCAAAUUUGAAAUCUUCAAGGUUCUACCUUGACGAAUUGUAGUUUAAAGAAGUGUUUUCGGUUAGAGGAGUAGUAAAAGUUCUUUGGAAUAGGACAUCAUAGAGGGUGAGAAUCCCGUAUUUGACUAUUCUUUCUAGCUUUGUGAUACACUUUCAAAGAGUCGGAUUGUUUGGGAAUGCAGUCCAAAAUGGGUGGUAAAUUUCAUCUAAAGCUAAAUACUGGCGAGAGACCGAUAGCGAACAAGUACCGUGAGGGAAAGAUGAAAAGAACUUUGAAAAGAGAGUUAAACAGUACGUGAAAUUGUCAAAAGGGAAGCGUUUGACACCAGUGUUGUUUUCUCGAAAAUCAAUUAAAAAAGGCCGGAUUUUGUGUUGUAUUGACCUUAAAAGCUUUCUUCACUCUUUUCUUGUCUUUUUUAAUGCACUUUUCGUUUAACAAGUCAACAUCAGUUUCUUUUGUUGUAAAAGGGUCAUUGGAAGGUGGCUUUCUUUUCGGAGAAAGUGUUUAUAGCCUUUGAUCUCUGCAACCGGAGAGACUGAGGUCUGCAGCGUAGACUCUUCGGGGUUAGAUACACUUGUGCUAAGCUAUAGCCUUGUAUAGACAACUUGUUGACUAUGCUCAGUCAUGUAGCUUACUCGCUUGUGCUAUUUUACCUACGCUUAGGAUGUUGACAGCAGUAUAGACUGU